Molecule: ribosomal RNA, 253 nt
Filed under: uncultured bacterium
Lineage: Bacteria
Description: partial 16S ribosomal RNA
Rfam family: Bacterial small subunit ribosomal RNA
Source: RNAcentral
UACAGAGGUCUCAAGCGUUGUUCGGAUUCAUUGGGCGUAAAGGGCGCGUAGGCGGCGGGGUAAGUCGGGUGUGAAAUCUCAGAGCUUAACUCCGAAACUGCAUUCGAUACUGCGGUGCUUGAGGACUGGAGAGGAGACUGGAAUUCAUGGUGUAGCAGUGAAAUGCGUAGAGAUCAUGAGGAAGACCAGUGGCGAAGGCGGGUCUCUGGACAGUUCCUGACACUGAGGCACGAAGGCCAGGGGAGCAAACGGG